UACAGAGGUUGCAAGCGUUGUUCGGAUUUAUUGGGCGUAAAGGGUCCGUAGGCGGUUUGGAAAGUCUGAUGUGAAAUCCUACAGCUUAACUGUAGAACUGCAUUGGAAACUUCUAGACUAGAGUAUGAGAGGGGUUAAGGGAAUUCCCGGUGUAAGGGUGAAAUCUGCAGAGAUCGGGAGGAACACCUGUCGCGAAGGCGGCUUUCUGGUCUGUAACUGACGCUGAGGCGCGAAAGCGUGGGGAGCAAACAGG
This 253-nucleotide ribosomal RNA is filed under the name uncultured bacterium. Its description in RNAcentral is "partial 16S ribosomal RNA". It matches the Rfam family "Bacterial small subunit ribosomal RNA", at positions 524 to 776 of the family's 1533-position model. The record is from RNAcentral.